GGAGUCUGGGCCGUGUCUCAGUCCCAAUGUGGCCGAUCACUCUCUCAAGUCGGCUACUGAUCGUUGCUUUGGUAGGCCGUUACCCUGCCAACUGGCUAAUCAGACGCGGGUCCAUCUUGUACCACCGGAGUUUUUCACACUGUACCAUGCAGUACUGUGCGCUUAUGCGGUAUUAGCAGUCAUUUCUAACUGUUGUCCCCCUGUGUAAGGCAGGUUACCCACGCGUUACUCACCCGUCCGCCACUAAGUCGUCCCAAUUGAAUCUACUUUGAGCAAGCUCUCCAUUUCAUCGGGCGGGACGCUUCGUUCGACUUGCAUGUGUUAAGCACGCCGCCAGCGUUCAUC
RNAcentral lists this ribosomal RNA (345 nucleotides) under uncultured Lachnospiraceae bacterium. Its description in RNAcentral is "partial 16S ribosomal RNA". The record is from RNAcentral. Lineage: Bacteria; Bacillati; Bacillota; Clostridia; Lachnospirales; Lachnospiraceae.